Molecule: transfer RNA, 73 nt
Filed under: Gonatophragmium mori
Lineage: Eukaryota; Fungi; Ascomycota; Dothideomycetes; Acrospermales; Acrospermaceae
Description: tRNA-Glu
Rfam family: tRNA
About the family: Transfer RNA (tRNA) molecules are approximately 80 nucleotides in length. Their secondary structure includes four short double-helical elements and three loops (D, anti-codon, and T loops). Further hydrogen bonds mediate the characteristic L-shaped molecular structure. tRNAs have two regions of fundamental functional importance: the anti-codon, which is responsible for specific mRNA codon recognition, and the 3' end, to which the tRNAs corresponding amino acid is attached (by aminoacyl-tRNA synthetases). tRNAs cope with the degeneracy of the genetic code in two manners: having more than one tRNA (with a specific anti-codon) for a particular amino acid; and 'wobble' base-pairing, i.e. permitting non-standard base-pairing at the 3rd anti-codon position.
Source: RNAcentral
GGCCUUGUAGUCAAAUGGUUAAGACAUAACUCUUUCACUGUUACAUCUGAGGGUUCGACCCCCUUCAAGGUCA